Molecule: ribosomal RNA, 253 nt
Filed under: uncultured bacterium
Lineage: Bacteria
Description: partial 16S ribosomal RNA
Rfam family: Bacterial small subunit ribosomal RNA
Source: RNAcentral
UACGUAGGGGGCAAGCGUUGUCCGGAUUUACUGGGCGUAAAGAGCGUGUAGGCGGCCACGCAGGUCCGUUGUGAAAACUGGAGGCUCAACCUCCAGACGUCGACGGAAACCGUAUGGCUAGAGUCCGGAAGAGGAGAGUGGAAUUCCUGGUGUAGCGGUGAAAUGCGCAGAUAUCAGGAGGAACACCGGUGGCGAAGGCGGGAUCCUGGGCCAGUACUGACGCUGAGGAGCGAAAGCGUGGGGAGCAAACAGG